This 32-nucleotide non-coding RNA is filed under the name Mus musculus (house mouse). Lineage: Eukaryota; Metazoa; Chordata; Mammalia; Rodentia; Muridae. The record is from RNAcentral.
UAUGUCAGACAAGCCCCUACACCUUGAGGCAU